Molecule: ribosomal RNA, 544 nt
Filed under: uncultured Glomeromycotina
Lineage: Eukaryota; Fungi; Glomeromycota
Description: SSU rRNA
Rfam family: Eukaryotic small subunit ribosomal RNA
Source: RNAcentral
UUGGAGGGCAAGUCUGGUGCCAGCAGCCGCGGUAAUUCCAGCUCCAAUAGCGUAUAUUAAAGUUGUUGCAGUUAAAAAGCUCGUAGUUGAAUUUCGGGGUUCUACCGUUGGUCGGGCUUUGUCUGUACUGGUGUGUAGAAUUUCUACCUUCUGGGGAACCAUCAUGCUAUUAAUUUAGCGUGGUGGGAAACCAGGACCUUUACCUUGAAAAAAUUAGUGUGUUCAAAGCAGGCUUAUGUCUGAAUACAUUAGCGUGGAAUAAUAGAAUAGGACGGUGGUCCUGUUUUGUUGGUUUCUGAAUCACCGUAAUGAUUAAUAGGGAUAGUUGGGGGUAUUAGUAUUCAAUUGUCAGAGGUGAAAUUCUUGGAUUUAUUGAAGACUAACUUCUGCGAAAGCAUUUGCCAAGGAUGUUUUCAUUAAUCAAGAACGAAAGUUAGGGGAUCGAAGACGAUCAGGUACCGUCGUAGUCUUAACCAUAAACUAUGCCGACUAGGGAUCGGACGAUGUUAAUUUUUCUUGACUCGUUCGGCGCCUUACGGGAAAC